Molecule: long non-coding RNA, 547 nt
Organism: Harpia harpyja (harpy eagle)
Lineage: Eukaryota; Metazoa; Chordata; Aves; Accipitriformes; Accipitridae
Exons: 3
Source: RefSeq, a predicted model, not a curated record
GGCAAAUGAAGGCUCAAACCACAGAUAUAUUUCUCCAGCUCAGCAGUUUAUGGAGGGCCAGCUGAGCUGUUGUCCCUCCCGAAGAUCUUGAUGUUAGCCCUUGGCAAAUGCAAGUGCUGUUUGCUAUUACUGUUGCUCUGACGACAGUGACACUAGAAGCUGUUGGGGACAUUCAGCAAUCCUCACUCAAGACACAGCAAUAAGAGAAGAUUGAGAUAAAGUGACUUGCCCAGAUUCAAAAAGCAAGUGGUUCUUCCAGAGAAUUAAGACACCGUAACACAAAUUUGGGGGACAUUUGGGGAAGGUAUCCCACAUUUGAGAAACUAUUCCAUGAAGCUGUUCAGUGGAAAACUAUUGAGAUCUGCCAGUCUCUCCAACCCUUAGAAUUCAAGACAUGACCUACUGGAUCACUGGAUGAUGAAAGUAAGUUACUUUGUGGUUAACACAGAAAACUUUGCAAUUUUCUCUUCCUAAGGGAACAUACUGCUCUAUAUUCAUGAUAGGGAAGAAGUCUGGAGGAAAUCCAUGGUAAUAUUAAUUAUUUUUA